UGGCUAAAAUGUUAGCCCCUCCUCCUGAUGAGGGAACUCGAGAUGCGACAGCUCUAGAACCUGAGGGAAAACAAAGAUACCUUCUCUCUUUAGAGAACAGAUUGAAGAAACUGGAGGGAAGGGAUGGACAGCUAACAUCAAAAGACAUGCUCUCGGCUCUAUCUGAAGCACGUGAUGAUCAUCUCUCCAGAAGCACUGAGCCUUCGUCCAAUGGCAGCUCUUUUAUUAACGACUCGGCUGAGAGAUGGGAAUGGGAGGAGAGUGACGUGAGGGAUCGUGGUGGGUUUGUAUCUACUUAUUGCUGUUGGUGUGGUGGGCGUGGUUAUCUCAGGGGAAGACAAGGGGAGUUCAAAAUUGAGGAGUACUCGUGUCUUUUGGACUGCGACGAACUCGACUUGAGUAGUAAUGAAAAUACCACUAGCCCUUCUCAAUUGGGAGAGAGCCAGGAAUCGGCUCGUGAUGAUCAACCAGUAGCUAGUAGUGGGGACACUGCUAAUGGCUUCACUGAUAAUUUUGUGUCAUAAUUUUUUAGACAUUUUGAUUUAUAUACUUGUCGCUCACUUUUGAUUUUUGUUUGUACAUAAUAACAAGAGUAUAUAAUAAGUAUUAUAUAAGUAUUAUAUACUCUUGAUAGUAACAAUAGUUUUAAAGGUUUAAGCUUUAAAUUUACGGGAGUGUCUUUGUAGUGUACGGACUACCGUAUUUUGUCACUAAAAAUGGAGCUUGAGGAGAAAGAUCCCAGUCCCGAGGAUAUAAAAUGGAUAUUCUCGGCCGAAGUCCUAGAGCACCUCACUCCAUCCCGUAAGAAAGGGAUCAGUCACGAAAUGGAGAGACGGUACAGAAGAGAGGGAGCCAGAUUCAUCAGCAACACGAGCAAUACACUCAAACUACGUCGCGAUACUUUAGCUACUGGGACUGUCUUUUUUCAUCGCUUUUACAUGGUUCAAAAUUUCGCCGAUUUUGAUAAAUACGUUGUAGCAGCUGCCUGUGUCCUCCUUGCUGGUAAAGUUGAAGAGACUCCAAAGAAGUGCAAGGACAUUGUACGAGUGGCCAAACGAUUUCUAUCUGCAGAGCAAUCGAAAUCCUUUGGAGAGAAACCACUGGAAGAACUUAUUUCUUUCGAGAGAGUUCUUUUACAAACGAUAAGGUUUGAUUUGCAGGUUGAUCAUCCUUAUGGGUAUCUCUUGAAGUUUGCCAAGCACAUGAAAGGAGAAAAGCAAACAAUUGAGAAAGUGCUACAAAUGGCUUGGACAUUCAUUAAUGAUAGUCUCUGUACUACUCUUUGUCUUCAAUGGGAGCCUCCUGUCGUUGCUGUAGCUCUUCUCUAUCUGGCUGGUAAACUAUCAAAGUUUGAUCUCCAGAGUGCAUUCCAAGCUAAGAGUCGGUCUUGGUGGAGGCAGUUUGUCCUCACAGUUGAUGCCCAUGACCUGGAGUCUAUAUGUCAUCAAGUUUUGGACGUUUAUAGCGAAGAAGAGAAAGAGCAAGAGGCUAAGAAAGCAAAGACUGUAAUACAAGGAGAUCCUGUUCCUCCACAAGACAAUGCAUCAUCUCCCCCUCCACCUCCUCCCCCUACUAAUCACACUCACCACAAGCAGCACAUUACACCUCUUAAAGGACCUUCAUCAGGCCCCAGUACAUCCACUGCAUCAAAUAGCGGGAGCUACAUGACAGGAACUUCAUGUGCAACUGGAAUUGUGCAUGGAGCUGGUAUGGUGUUACCGCCAGGACAGAACAAUAUGAUGCUACCUGCUCCUCCUCCCCCUCACUCAAUGCUGCAUCCUACUCCUAGUGGCAGCUCUGUUAAUUCAUCCCCAAUGACUAACAAUCAUUACCAUUCCUCUUUACUGGGUCAGCCCCCUCAACCGUUUAUGCCUCAUGGAAUGAACUAUACACAGUCUCCAUCGCAGAUCCAGCUGUCUGCUGGAGGCCCAGUUGGCAUGGGGAGUCAGCUAAACCCAGUUUUGAUUUCUCCAGUUUGAAAGUGAUGCUUAGAUCAGACUCCCUGGUAGCAUUACCAACCAUGUAUCUCACCAGAGUUACUGAUGAUGACUCAGAAGGAUGAUCAAGCACAAUUGCUGGAUGCAUAAUGACGGAUGCCUUACUUGUACUUCAGUUGCAACUGUUG
Molecule: unclassified non-coding RNA, 2125 nt
Filed under: Amphimedon queenslandica
Lineage: Eukaryota; Metazoa; Porifera; Demospongiae; Haplosclerida; Niphatidae
Description: cyclin-K-like, transcript variant X2
Source: RNAcentral